GUCCUAAAUAGGAGCAACCCUGGGCCGCUAUCCUGUGAGGGUGGAGACGCUCCCCGCUCCCCGAGACUGGACAGACACCGAGAGGUGGAGCUGAGCUAAUACGAGGCUAAGGGAAUCCCAUGUAUUCCAGUUACCCUGAACUCCCGUACAGCAGAGGAUGCCCCCGAGCUUCGGAGCCACCAUCUCUUACUAGGAUUCCAGGAUCCCUUUCAAGGCUUCUACCUGGAGCAACUGCCCACAGUUCUGCCUUAAGAGUGCCUGAGAGACCUGGCAUCACAGCCUGCCCUCCAAAUCAUCACUCACUCUGCCAGGCACACCAGGUCUUCCUCCCCUUACUCGCCGCACCAAAGAAAUCAAAACCCAAACUGAGAAUACUAGAAAGCAUCACCGUACAGCACGGAAAGAAAUAAUGAAAACAAACCAACAGCCACACACUUGGACUCACCCAGACCCAGGAGCCAGGAGUGUGGGUGAUUGUCAAGUUUCGGGACAGGUCAGCUCUUGGCUGGCCCAUCCCUCCCUUCUUCCCUCUUUCUGGGACUUGAAUGGGGUAGAGAAUUCAGAUUCUCCUUGGGAAUCUCAGCCCUCCUGCCCCAUUACAUCCCACCCCUUCUGCUUAUGUAGAGGCAGACAGGGUAGAACAAGGAGCUCCCAGCCUCUAGGAGAGCCUACAUUCCCCCACAGGGAUUCCAGAGAGUUAGGUAAAAAUAUAUAUAGAGAGAUUUAGAUACUUUUUCAUCAUUUCUGUCUCUCCAAACAAAUAAAUAACGAGCAAGAGAA
RNAcentral lists this long non-coding RNA (780 nucleotides) under Mus caroli (Ryukyu mouse). RNAcentral describes it as "lncRNA (MGP_CAROLIEiJ_G0003385.1)". The record is from RNAcentral. Lineage: Eukaryota; Metazoa; Chordata; Mammalia; Rodentia; Muridae.